Molecule: ribosomal RNA, 481 nt
Filed under: uncultured bacterium
Lineage: Bacteria
Description: partial 16S ribosomal RNA
Rfam family: Bacterial small subunit ribosomal RNA
Source: RNAcentral
GAUGAACGCUGGCGGCGUGCUUAACACAUGCAAGUCGAACGAAGCACUUUAUUUGAUUUCCUUCGGGACUGAUUAUUUUGUGACUGAGUGGCGGACGGGUGAGUAACGCGUGGGUAACCUGCCUUGUACAGGGGGAUAACAGUUGGAAACGGCUGCUAAUACCGCAUAAGCGCACAGCAUCGCAUGCUGCAGUGUGAAAAACUCCUGUGGUAUAAGAUGUACGCGCGUUGGAUUAGCUAGUUGGUGAGGUAACGGCCCACCAAGGCGACGAUCCAUAGCCGAGAGGAGAGGGUGCCCGGCCACAAUGGGGCUACGACACAGCCCAAAAUCGUACGGGAGGGAGGAGUGGGGAAUAUUGCACAAUGGGGGAAAGCCUGAUGCAGCGACGCCGGGUAAGCGAAGAAGUAUGUCGGUAUGUAAAGCUCUAUCAGCAGGGAAGAUAAUGACGGUACCUGACUAAGAAGCACCGGCUAAAUACGUG